RNAcentral lists this ribosomal RNA (174 nucleotides) under Triticum aestivum (bread wheat). Its description in RNAcentral is "partial small subunit ribosomal RNA". Lineage: Eukaryota; Viridiplantae; Streptophyta; Magnoliopsida; Poales; Poaceae. The record is from RNAcentral.
UUGGCCCUCUCAAAAGCCAAUUCCCCGGGGCUGAUUUUUCUAUCGGAAACACGUCAAGCCUCAAGUAAGAUGGAGAGAUUAAAGUGGAGACUGCAUAUGAAGGGUUUUGUGGGGGUAUCUAGUGAUGGGCGCAGUGGGGGGCUUGCUCUCUACUGGGAUGAGAAGCUGCAGGUG